Molecule: ribosomal RNA, 468 nt
Filed under: uncultured bacterium
Lineage: Bacteria
Description: partial 16S ribosomal RNA
Rfam family: Bacterial small subunit ribosomal RNA
Source: RNAcentral
GACGAACGCUGGCGGCGUGCUUAACACAUGCAAGUCGAACGGAAAGGCCCUGCUUUUGUGGGGUGCUCGAGUGGCGAACGGGUGAGUAACACGUGAGUAACCUGCCCUUGACUUUGGGAUAACUUCAGGAAACUGGGGCUAAUACCGGAUAGGGGCUCCUGCUGCAUGGUGGGGGUUGGAAAGUUUCGGCGGUUGGGGAUGGACUCGCGGCUUAUCAGCUUGUUGGUGGGGUAGUGGCUUACCAAGGCUUUGACGGGUAGCCGGCCUGAGAGGGUGACCGGCCACAUUGGGACUGCGAUACGGCCCAGACUCCUACGGGAGGCAGCAGUGGGGAAUAUUGCACAAUGGGAGGAAGCCUGAUGCAGCACCGCCGCGUGCGGGAUGACGGCCUUCGGGUUGUAAACCGCUUUCGCCUGUGACGAAGCGUGAGUGACGGUAAUGGGUAAAGAAGCACCGGCUAACUACGUG